UAGGGAAUCUUCGNGCAAUGGACGGAAGUCUGACCGAGCAACGCCGCGUGAGUGAAGAAGGUUUUCGGAUCGUAAAGCUCUGUUGUAAGAGAAGAACGAGUGUGAGAGUGGAAAGUUCACACUGUGACGGUAUCUUACCAGAAAGGGACGGCUAACUACGUGCCAGCAGCCGCGGUAAUACGUAGGUCCCGAGCGUUGUCCGGAUUUAUUGGGCGUAAAGCGAGCGCAGGCGGUUAGAUAAGUCUGAAGUUAAAGGCUGUGGCUUAACCAUAGUACGCUUUGGAAACUGUUUAACUUGAGUGCAAGAGGGGAGAGUGGAAUUCCAUGUGUAGCGGUGAAAUGCGUAGAUAUAUGGAGGAACACCGGUGGCGAAAGCGGCUCUCUGGCUUGUAACUGACGCUGAGGCUCGAAAGCGUGGGGAGCAAACAGGAUUAGAUACCCUGGUAGUCCACGCCGUAAACGAUGAGUGCUAGGUGUUAGACCCUUUCCGGGGUUUAGUGCCGCAGCUAACGCAUUAAGCACUCCGCCUGGGGAGUACGACCGCAAGGUUG
Molecule: ribosomal RNA, 551 nt
Filed under: uncultured bacterium
Lineage: Bacteria
Description: bacterial SSU rRNA
Rfam family: Bacterial small subunit ribosomal RNA
Source: RNAcentral